GGAGGCGUGUCCGAACUGGCUAAGGAGCCGGUCUCGAAAACCGGUGGGCCGCAAGGCCCUUGUGGGUUCGAGUCCCACCGCCUCCGCCA
RNAcentral lists this transfer RNA (89 nucleotides) under Thermotoga neapolitana. RNAcentral describes it as "tRNA-Ser". It matches the Rfam family "tRNA". From Rfam's summary of the family: Transfer RNA (tRNA) molecules are approximately 80 nucleotides in length. Lineage: Bacteria; Thermotogati; Thermotogota; Thermotogae; Thermotogales; Thermotogaceae. RNAcentral also lists the same sequence under 6 other names. The record is from RNAcentral.